Molecule: small RNA, 510 nt
Filed under: Cryptococcus neoformans H99
Lineage: Eukaryota; Fungi; Basidiomycota; Tremellomycetes; Tremellales; Cryptococcaceae
Description: Cryptococcus neoformans var. grubii H99 hypothetical RNA
Source: RNAcentral
CUCUCGCUUUAACCAACUCGACACCAAUUCGCUUCUCCAUCCUCUCAAAGCCACCCGCCGGCAUCGCCUCCCUCCAGUCCUUCCACUCGUCCGCCGUGCACUUACUCGCCAGUCCACCAGUGGAUAGAAUUAUCGGUUUGAAGACACCACCAGUGACCUUCGGAGCAUUUUGACGAUGGUACGCUGCCUUGAGGGCGUUGAAGAAGUCGACGUCGAGAGGUUGGAACCAGCCGCUCAUCUUCGCUGGAAGAAGAAUCACGACAAUGUUCCUAGCCCAACAUGCUUCAAGGAAAUCCACUUUGGUGUGCGGUUCGGCACCAUCGAGGAUGAGUAGUCGCCUGUCAGGGACGUCACGCCGGUCAGCGUAAAAGCUCGACGCUCAAUCGAAGAGGGUGGCGAGAAGGAAGGACGAGGACAGAAUAGCCGAGGCCUGAAAGGGAACAGGAGCCGGACUAAUGGCUGACCGAUGCGACUUUUAGACCUUGGAAGGUCUGGAAGGUGGAAAGAGGC